This 384-nucleotide RNase P RNA is filed under the name Microbacterium algihabitans. RNAcentral describes it as "RNase P RNA component class A". It matches the Rfam family "Bacterial RNase P class A". Rfam says of the family: Ribonuclease P (RNase P) is a ubiquitous endoribonuclease, found in archaea, bacteria and eukarya as well as chloroplasts and mitochondria. Its best characterised activity is the generation of mature 5'-ends of tRNAs by cleaving the 5'-leader elements of precursor-tRNAs. Lineage: Bacteria; Bacillati; Actinomycetota; Actinomycetes; Micrococcales; Microbacteriaceae. The record is from RNAcentral.
UGGGUCGGCUGGACGGUCGCGUCACGGGUUCGCCCGUGCCGAGGAACGUCCGGGCUCCACAGGGCAGGACGGUGGGUAACGCCCACCCGGAGCAAUCCGCGAGACAGUGCCACAGAGAGCAGACCGCCCCGCGUCCCUCGGGCCGCGGGGUAAGGGUGAAAGGGUGGUGUAAGAGACCACCGGGGUCGUGGUGACACGACCCGCGAGGUAAACCUCGUCCGGAGCAAGGCCAGACAGGGGAUGACGACGCGGCUCGCCGAGUCCCCGGGUAGGCCGCUGGAGCGGCACGGCAACGUGUCGCCGAGAGAGAUGACCGUCCACGGGGUUCCUGAGCUUGUCGAAGGAACCCCCGGACAGAACCCGGCGUACAGGCCGGCCCAUUCG